UGAGGAAUAUUGGACAAUGGGCGAAAGCCUGAUCCAGCCAUGCCGCGUGAGUGAAGAAGGCCCUAGGGUUGUAAAGCUCUUUCAAUCGUGAAGAUAAUGACGGUAGCGAUAGAAGAAGCUCCGGCUAACUCCGUGCCAGCAGCCGCGGUAAUACGGGGGGAGCGAGCGUUGUUCGGAAUCACUGGGCGUAAAGCGUGCGCAGGCGGAUUGGAAAGUCAGAAGUGAAAUCCCGGGGCUCAACCCCGGAACGGCUUUUGAAACUUCCAUUCUAGAGUAUGGUAGAGGUUGGGAGAAUUCCUAGUGUAGAGGUGAAAUUCGUAGAUAUUAGGAGGAAUACCAGUGGCGUAGGCGCCCAACUGGACCAUUACUGACGCUCAGGCACGAAAGCGUGGGGAGCAAACA
This 402-nucleotide ribosomal RNA is filed under the name uncultured bacterium. RNAcentral describes it as "bacterial SSU rRNA". It matches the Rfam family "Bacterial small subunit ribosomal RNA", at positions 355 to 774 of the family's 1533-position model. The record is from RNAcentral.